This 50-nucleotide ribosomal RNA is filed under the name uncultured fungus. RNAcentral describes it as "partial 5.8S ribosomal RNA". It matches the Rfam family "5.8S ribosomal RNA", at positions 1 to 49 of the family's 154-position model. From Rfam's summary of the family: 5.8S ribosomal RNA (5.8S rRNA) is a component of the large subunit of the eukaryotic ribosome. It is transcribed by RNA polymerase I as part of the 45S precursor that also contains 18S and 28S rRNA. Functionally, it is thought that 5.8S rRNA may be involved in ribosome translocation. The record is from RNAcentral. Lineage: Eukaryota; Fungi.
CAACUUUUAACAACGGAUCUCUUGGCUCUCGCAUCGAUGAAGAACGCAGC